GCGAAGCGGUGACGUGGAGCGAAUCCCAAAAAUAACGUCCCAGUUCGGAUUGUAGUCUGCAACCCGACUACAUGAAGCUGGAAUCGCUAGUAAUCGCGGAUCAGAAUGCCGCGGUGAAUACGUUCCCGGGUCUUGUACACACCGCCCGUCACACCAUGGGAGUCGGGGGCGCCUGAAGUCCGGGACCGCGAGGACCGGCCUAGGGCGAAACUGGUAACUGGGGCUAAGUCGUAACAAGGUACC
RNAcentral lists this ribosomal RNA (243 nucleotides) under uncultured bacterium. RNAcentral describes it as "partial 16S ribosomal RNA". It matches the Rfam family "Bacterial small subunit ribosomal RNA", at positions 1249 to 1500 of the family's 1533-position model. The record is from RNAcentral.